RNAcentral lists this ribosomal RNA (497 nucleotides) under uncultured bacterium. RNAcentral describes it as "partial 16S ribosomal RNA". It matches the Rfam family "Bacterial small subunit ribosomal RNA", at positions 28 to 507 of the family's 1533-position model. The record is from RNAcentral.
GAUGAACGCUGGCGGCGUGCCUAAUACAUGCAAGUCGAGCGAACGGACGAGAAGCUUGCUUCUCUGAUGUUGGCGGCGGACGGGUGAGUAACACGUGGAUAACCUACCUAUAAGACUUGGAGAACUUCGGGAAACCGGAGCUAAUACCGGAUAAUAUUUUGAACCGGAUGGUUCAAAAGUGAAAGACGGUCUGGCUGUCACUUAUAGAUGGAUCCGCGUUGCAUUAGCUAGUUGGUAAGGUAACGGCUUACCAAGGCAACGAUGCAUAGCUGACCUGAGAGGAUGAUCGGCCACACUGGAACUGAGACACGGUCCAGACUCCUACGGGAGGCAGCAGUAGGGAAUAUUCCGCAAUGGGCGCAAGCCUGACGGAGCAGCGCCGCGUGAGUGAUGAAGGUCUUCGGAUCGUAAAACUCUGUUAUUAGGGAAGAAAAUAUGUGUAAGUAACUGUGCACAUCUUGACGGUACCUAAUCAGAAAGCCACGGCUAACUUCGUG